Molecule: long non-coding RNA, 1055 nt
Organism: Galleria mellonella (greater wax moth)
Lineage: Eukaryota; Metazoa; Arthropoda; Insecta; Lepidoptera; Pyralidae
Exons: 3
Source: RefSeq, a predicted model, not a curated record
UGCUACUUGAGGUGGAUUCGUUGAUAUUGUUAUUGUUAGAGAAAAACUUUUCCCUGAAACAAAUGAGGUGAUUGAAAACGCUCUAUUCAAAUAUUAAGGAAAAUAUUUUGUGGUUUCUCGAACACUGCUGCGUGGAUGCCUAGAAUAUAUUGCGAAGCGGACUGUUAAGACUCGAUGAAAGCUGAACACUAUCGGUUUAUCGUUUUGGGACAAGAUGGAUGCAAUCAACGGUUCUUAAUAUUGUAUUGUUGGUGCUAGAGUAUAUAAAUAGAAUCGAUUAAUAUUCCAACUUAUUGUAUCGUGGAACGGGCAACCUCCGAAACUGGUGCACGUCGUUGCUCCGAAAGCUGUCUUAUCUAAUUAAAUCACAUCACGGACGCGGUGUUUUGAUGAUCACGUCACAACGAAUACCAGCUCACACUACAGCUAUCAAGUUACGUAUUAUCUAAAUAAAUAAAAAAAAAUAAUUAUAAUAUUUAUCUUCUUACCGCUGUAAUAAAUUUACACAAUAAACGAAAUUAAAAGUGUCGAUAAAAACCCGUUAGGUUACCACUGUUUAAUCGAACAUUGAUUUGUUAAUGAAGUAGUGAUUAUAUUGAAAGUGAAAUUAUGUAAUUGAUUUGUCAUACUUACUAUCUAAAUGAUCAAUAAAAAUAACUGCGUUUCAUGGUGACUGAGAUAAUGAAGUCAGAGGCAUAGGUUAUUGUUACUGUUGUGGUAAAUAUUACACACGAAUUGUUUAUAAAUGGGCUCACUAGAGAGCAUAUUUUUAUGCAAAGAGACAGGUUGACUUCUUUAGUGACUAAGAUUAAUUUGGAUUGUUAAUUGUGUUUACUACCUGUAUGUCAGUUGGAAUUUUAAUUGGCACGAUAAUUUUACUGGAUUUUAUUUAAUGACUUUGGUAUUUUGUUGAUUUACAUUGAACUUAAUUACCAAUAGACAUCGACCUAUUCAUGAUUGUUAUCGUAAUUUUAUUAAUUACACAUUACUAUCAAUAAAUAUCAUAUAAAUUAAUAUUUUAUUGUUAUUAUUUCAGCCAUUAACUGUCCACUGCU